RNAcentral lists this ribosomal RNA (387 nucleotides) under Salinivirgaceae bacterium. Its description in RNAcentral is "bacterial SSU rRNA". It matches the Rfam family "Bacterial small subunit ribosomal RNA", at positions 1144 to 1533 of the family's 1533-position model. The record is from RNAcentral. Lineage: Bacteria; Pseudomonadati; Bacteroidota; Bacteroidia; Bacteroidales; Salinivirgaceae.
CGAAACUGCCGGUGUAAACCGUGAGGAAGGUGGGGAUGACGUCAAAUCAGCACGGCCCUUAUGUCCAGGGCUACACACGUGUUACAAUGGCCGGUACAACGGGCAGCCACAUAGCAAUAUGGAGCUAAUCUCAAAAGCCGGUCUCAGUUCGGAUUGGAGUCUGCAACCCGACUCCAUGAAGGUGGAUUCGCUAGUAAUCGCGCAUCAGCCAUGGCGCGGUGAAUACGUUCCCGGGCCUUGUACACACCGCCCGUCAAGCCAUGGAAGUUUGGGGUGCCUGAAGUUCGUAACCGCAAGGAGCGACCUAGGGUAAAACAAAUGACUGGGGCUAAGUCGUAACAAGGUAGCCGUACCGGAAGGUGUGGCUGGAACACCUCCUUUCUGGAG